AACGAACGCUGGCGGCAUGCCUAACACAUGCAAGUCGAACGAGAUCUUCGGGUCUAGUGGCGCACGGGUGCGUAACGCGUGGGAAUCUGCCCUUUGGUUCGGAAUAACAGUUGGAAACGACUGCUAACACCGGAUGAUGACGAAAGUCCAAAGAUUUAUCGCCAGAGGAUGAGCCUGCGUAGGAUUAGCUAGUUGGUGUGGUAAAGGCGCACCAAGGCGACGAUCCUUAGCUGGUCUGAGAGGAUGAUCAGCCACACUGGGACUGAGACACGGCCCAGACUCCUACGGGAGGCAGCAGUGGGGAAUAUUGGACAAUGGGCGAAAGCCUGAUCCAGCAAUGCCGCGUGAGUGAUGAAGGCCUUAGGGUUGUAAAGCUCUUUUACCCGGGAUGGUAAUGACAGUACCGGGAGAAUAAGCUCCGGCUAACUCCGUGCCAGCCGCCGCCGUAA
This 449-nucleotide ribosomal RNA is filed under the name uncultured bacterium. Its description in RNAcentral is "partial 16S ribosomal RNA". It matches the Rfam family "Bacterial small subunit ribosomal RNA", at positions 29 to 523 of the family's 1533-position model. The record is from RNAcentral.